This 481-nucleotide ribosomal RNA is filed under the name Escherichia coli. Its description in RNAcentral is "bacterial LSU rRNA". It matches the Rfam family "Bacterial large subunit ribosomal RNA", at positions 292 to 781 of the family's 2925-position model. The record is from RNAcentral. Lineage: Bacteria; Pseudomonadati; Pseudomonadota; Gammaproteobacteria; Enterobacterales; Enterobacteriaceae.
GGGGAGCAGCCCAGAGCCUGAAUCAGUGUGUGUGUUAGUGGAAGCGUCUGGAAAGGCGCGCGAUACAGGGUGACAGCCCCGUACACAAAAAUGCACAUACUGUGAGCUCGAUGAGUAGGGCGGGACACGUGGUAUCCUGUCUGAAUAUGGGGGGACCAUCCUCCAAGGCUAAAUACUCCUGACUGACCGAUAGUGAACCAGUACCGUGAGGGAAAGGCGAAAAGAACCCCGGCGAGGGGAGUGAAAAAGAACCUGAAACCGUGUACGUACAAGCAGUGGGAGCACGCUUAGGCGUGUGACUGCGUACCUUUUGUAUAAUGGGUCAGCGACUUAUAUUCUGUAGCAAGGUUAACCGAAUAGGGGAGCCGAAGGGAAACCGAGUCUUAACUGGGCGUUAAGUUGCAGGGUAUAGACCCGAAACCCGGUGAUCUAGCCAUGGGCAGGUUGAAGGUUGGGUAACACUAACUGGAGGACCGAACCG